GUGCUCGAGUGGCGAACGGGUGAGUAACACGUGAGUAACCUGCCCUUGACUUUGGGAUAACUUCAGGAAACUGGGGCUAAUACCGGAUAGGAGCUCCUGCUGCAUGGUGGGGGUUGGAAAGUUUCGGCGGUUGGGGAUGGACUCGCGGCUUAUCAGCUUGUUGGUGGGGUAGUGGCUUACCAAGGCUUUGACGGGUAGCCGGCCUGAGAGGGUGACCGGCCACAUUGGGACUAAGAUACGGCCCAG
Molecule: ribosomal RNA, 246 nt
Filed under: uncultured Actinomycetales bacterium
Lineage: Bacteria; Bacillati; Actinomycetota; Actinomycetes; Actinomycetales
Description: partial 16S ribosomal RNA
Rfam family: Bacterial small subunit ribosomal RNA
Source: RNAcentral